RNAcentral lists this ribosomal RNA (810 nucleotides) under Mycobacterium sp. FL04-42-151SpA. RNAcentral describes it as "bacterial SSU rRNA". It matches the Rfam family "Bacterial small subunit ribosomal RNA", at positions 162 to 981 of the family's 1533-position model. Lineage: Bacteria; Bacillati; Actinomycetota; Actinomycetes; Mycobacteriales; Mycobacteriaceae. The record is from RNAcentral.
UCUAAUACCGAAUACACCCUGCUGGAUCGCAUGGCCUGGUGGGGGAAAGCUUUUGCGGUGUGGGAUGGGCCCGCGGCCUAUCAGCUUGUUGGUGGGGUGAUGGCCUACCAAGGCGACGACAGGUAGCCGGCCUGAGAGGGUGUCCGGCCACACUGGGACUGAGAUACGGCCCAGACUCCUACGGGAGGCAGCAGUGGGGAAUAUUGCACAAUGGGCGCAAGCCUGAUGCAGCGACGCCGCGUGAGGGAUGACGGCCUUCGGGUUGUAAACCUCUUUCAAUAGGGACGAAGCGUAAGUGACGGUACCUAUAGAAGAAGCACCGGCCAACUACGUGCCAGCAGCCGCGGUAAUACGUAGGGUGCGAGCGUUGUCCGGAAUUACUGGGCGUAAAGAGCUCGUAGGUGGUUUGUCGCGUUGUUCGUGAAAACUCACAGCUUAACUGUGGGCGUGCGGGCGAUACGGGCAGACUUGAGUACUGCAGGGGAGACUGGAAUUCCUGGUGUAGCGGUGGAAUGCGCAGAUAUCAGGAGGAACACCGGUGGCGAAGGCGGGUCUCUGGGCAGUAACUGACGCUGAGGAGCGAAAGCGUGGGGAGCGAACAGGAUUAGAUACCCUGGUAGUCCACGCCGUAAACGGUGGGUACUAGGUGUGGGUUUCCUUCCUUGGGAUCCGUGCCGUAGCUAACGCAUUAAGUACCCCGCCUGGGGAGUACGGCCGCAAGGCUAAAACUCAAAGAAAUUGACGGGGGCCCGCACAAGCGGCGGAGCAUGUGGAUUAAUUCGAUGCAACGCGAAGAACCUUACCUGGGUU